RNAcentral lists this ribosomal RNA (254 nucleotides) under uncultured bacterium. RNAcentral's name for it is "partial 16S ribosomal RNA". It matches the Rfam family "Bacterial small subunit ribosomal RNA", at positions 524 to 776 of the family's 1533-position model. The record is from RNAcentral.
UACGGAGGGUGCGAGCGUUGUCCGGAAUCAUUGGGCGUAAAGGGCGCGUAGGUGGCCCGGUCAGUUCGUGGUGAAAGCGCGGGGCUCAACUCCGCGUCGGCCAUGAAUACUGCUGGGCUGGAGCACUGUAGAGGCAGGCGGAAUUCCGGGUGUAGCGGUGGAAUGCGUAGAGAUCCGGAAGAACACCGGUGGCGAAGGCGGCCUGCUGGGCAGUGGCUGGACACUGAGGCGCGACAGCGUGGGGAGCAAACAGG